CGGUGGCGGAGGGAGUGGAGGUCGCCGCCGGGGCAGAACUCCAUGACGACGCAUGAGAAGCGCGUGGCGGCGUUGAAGUCGGCAAAGAGCGUGGGGAGGAACGGGUGGUCGAGCAGCCGCAUGAUGCGCUUCUCGGCGGCCGCACGCUCCAACUUGUGCUUCUUGGCCACGGCGCGCCGGUCCACCACCUUCAUCGUGUACAUGCACGACGGGACCUCCGACGGUGCCGAGGCGGCAGAGGUAGACGGUGCCGAUGUCGCCGCCACCGACGCGCCGGACGAGUGA
Molecule: ribosomal RNA, 285 nt
Filed under: Triticum aestivum (bread wheat)
Lineage: Eukaryota; Viridiplantae; Streptophyta; Magnoliopsida; Poales; Poaceae
Description: partial small subunit ribosomal RNA
Source: RNAcentral